AGAGUUCGAUCCUGGCUCAGGAUGAACGCUAGCGACAGGCUUAACACAUGCAAGUCGAGGGGCAGCGGGGAUGGUGCUUGCACCAUCUGCCGGCGACCGGCGCACGGGUGAGUAACACGUAUGCAACCUGCCCAUCGCAGGGGGAUAAUCGGGAGAAAUUCCGUCUAAUACCGCGUAACACCAUGGCAAGACAUCUCGCCAUGGUCAAAGGAGUGAUCCGGCGAUGGAUGGGCAUGCGGCGCAUUAGCUAGUCGGCGGGGUAACGGCCCACCGAGGCGACGAUGCGUAGGGGUUCUGAGAGGAAGGUCCCCCACACUGGUACUGAGACACGGACCAGACUCCUACGGGAGGCAGCAGUGAGGAAUAUUGGUCAAUGGCCGGGAGGCUGAACCAGCCAAGUCGCGUGAGGGAAGACGGCCCUAUGGGUUGUAAACCUCUUUUGUCAGGGAGCAAAGCCGGUCACGUGUGACCGGGAGGAGAGUACCUGAAGAAAAAGCAUCGGCUAACUCCGUGCCAGCAGCCGCGGUAAUACGGAGGAUGCGAGCGUUAUCCGGAUUUAUUGGGUUUAAAGGGUGCGUAGGCCGGCUGUUAAGUCAGCGGUAAAAUUGAGAGGCUUAACCUCUUCGAGCCGUUGAAACUGGCGGUCUUGAGUGGGCGAGAAGUAUGCGGAAUGCGUGGUGUAGCGGUAAAAUGCAUAGAUAUCACGCAGAACUCCGAUUGCGAAGGCAGCAUACCGGCGCCCGACUGACGCUGAAGCACGAAAGCGUGGGUAUCGAACAGGAUUAGAUACCCUGGUAGUCCACGCAGUAAACGAUGAAUACUAGCUGUCCGGGGCGAAUGAGCCUUGGGUGGCACAGCGAAAGCGUUAAGUAUUCCACCUGGGGAGUACGCCGGCAACGGUGAAACUCAAAGGAAUUGACGGGGGCCCGCACAAGCGGAGGAACAUGUGGUUUAAUUCGAUGAUACGCGAGGAACCUUACCCGGGCUCAAACGCCGGAUGCCGUACACCGAAAGGUGUAUUUUCUUCGGAACAUCCGGCGAGGUGCUGCAUGGUUGUCGUCAGCUCGUGCCGUGAGGUGUCGGCUUAAGUGCCAUAACGAGCGCAACCCCUAUCGACAGUUGCUAACGGGUCAAGCCGAGGACUCUGUCGAGACUGCCGGCGCAAGCUGUGAGGAAGGCGGGGAUGACGUCAAAUCAGCACGGCCCUUACGUCCGGGGCGACACACGUGUUACAAUGGCGGGUACAGCGGGAAGCCACCUGGCGACAGGGCGCGGAACCCGAAAACCCGUCUCAGUUCGGAUUGGAGUCUGCAACCCGACUCCAUGAAGCUGGAUUCGCUAGUAAUCGCGCAUCAGCCAUGGCGCGGUGAAUACGUUCCCGGGCCUUGUACACACCGCCCGUCAAGCCAUGGAAGCCGGGAGUACCUGAAGUGCGUGACCGCAAGGAGCGCCCUAAGGUAAGACUGGUGACUGGGGCUAAGUCGUAACAAGGUAACC
RNAcentral lists this ribosomal RNA (1497 nucleotides) under uncultured bacterium. RNAcentral's name for it is "bacterial SSU rRNA". It matches the Rfam family "Bacterial small subunit ribosomal RNA". The record is from RNAcentral.